Molecule: ribosomal RNA, 253 nt
Filed under: uncultured bacterium
Lineage: Bacteria
Description: partial 16S ribosomal RNA
Rfam family: Bacterial small subunit ribosomal RNA
Source: RNAcentral
UACGUAGGGUGCUAGCGUUGUCCGGAUUUAUUGGGCGUAAAGGGUUUGUAGGUGGUUUGUCGCGUCUGUCGUGAAAUCCUGUGGCUUAACCAUGUGCUUGCGGUGGGAACGGGCAGGCUUGAGUGCGGUAGGGGAGGCUGGAAUUCCUGGUGUAGCGGUGAAAUGCGCAGAUAUCAGGAGGAACACCAGUGGCGAAGGCGGGUCUCUGGGCCGUUACUGACACUGAGGAGCGAAAGCGAGGGGAGCGAACAGG